CUGUCAGCCUCGGGAUUCCAGCAAAAACCUGCUUGAGUGAGGUGGGACAGGGCUGUAUGUGUUCCGGAAGGGUUUUUGGAGAAGAUCAGGAUGUCGUCGAGGUAAACAAAGACGAACCGGUUCAACAAAUCCCUAAGAGUGUCAUUGGUCAAUGCUUGAAAGACUGCCGAUUUUAAGCGUUGCGGAGGUCCAGUUUGGUGAAGAAUUGGGCUCCUAGGGCCAACUCCAAGGCGGCGGACAUCGGAGUGAUCUUCCUUGGCCUCAUCACAUGUCUCAGUGGCUCCUCCUUAGGAGGGAGGGGGACACCACCACGGUACAGCCCCCACACUCAUCGCUAGAGAUCGAACUUCAGACUCC
Molecule: long non-coding RNA, 357 nt
Organism: Salvelinus sp. IW2-2015
Lineage: Eukaryota; Metazoa; Chordata; Actinopteri; Salmoniformes; Salmonidae
Source: RefSeq, a predicted model, not a curated record